Molecule: non-coding RNA, 71 nt
Organism: Phrynosoma platyrhinos (Desert horned lizard)
Lineage: Eukaryota; Metazoa; Chordata; Lepidosauria; Squamata; Phrynosomatidae
Source: the annotation of a GenBank genome assembly
AACAGUGCAGUGUAGUGGUUUGAGCAUUGGACUACAACUCUGAGGCCAGGGUUCGAAUCCCUACUUUGCUA